RNAcentral lists this ribosomal RNA (578 nucleotides) under Saccharothrix sp. I14A-00915. RNAcentral's name for it is "bacterial SSU rRNA". It matches the Rfam family "Bacterial small subunit ribosomal RNA", at positions 95 to 687 of the family's 1533-position model. Lineage: Bacteria; Bacillati; Actinomycetota; Actinomycetes; Pseudonocardiales; Pseudonocardiaceae. The record is from RNAcentral.
GCGGCGAACGGGUGAGUAACACGUGGGUAACCUGCCCUGUACUCUGGGAUAAGCCUGGGAAACUAGGUCUAAUACCGGAUAUGACCUGCCUCCGCAUGGUGGUGGGUGGAAAGUUCCGGCGGUACGGGAUGGGCCCGCGGCCUAUCAGCUUGUUGGUGGGGUGAUGGCCUACCAAGGCGACGACGGGUAGCCGGCCUGAGAGGGUGACCGGCCACACUGGGACUGAGACACGGCCCAGACUCCUACGGGAGGCAGCAGUGGGGAAUAUUGCACAAUGGGCGAAAGCCUGAUGCAGCGACGCCGCGUGAGGGAUGACGGCCUUCGGGUUGUAAACCUCUUUCAGCAGGGACGAAGCGCAAGUGACGGUACCUGCAGAAGAAGCACCGGCUAACUACGUGCCAGCAGCCGCGGUAAUACGUAGGGUGCGAGCGUUGUCCGGAAUUAUUGGGCGUAAAGAGCUCGUAGGCGGUUUGUUGCGUCGGCCGUGAAAACUUCACGCUUAACGUGGAGCCUGCGGUCGAUACGGGCAGACUUGAGUUCGGCAGGGGAGACUGGAAUUCCUGGUGUAGCGGUGAAAU